Molecule: ribosomal RNA, 505 nt
Filed under: uncultured bacterium
Lineage: Bacteria
Description: partial 16S ribosomal RNA
Rfam family: Bacterial small subunit ribosomal RNA
Source: RNAcentral
GACGAACGCUGGCGGCGUGCCUAAUACAUGCAAGUAGAACGCACAGUUUAUACCGUAGCUUGCUACACCAUAGACUGUGAGUUGCGAACGGGUGAGUAACGCGUAGGUAACCUGCCUGGUAGCGGGGGAUAACUAUUGGAAACGAUAGCUAAUACCGCAUAAUAUUAAUUAUUGCAUGAUAAUUAAUUGAAAGGUGCAAUUGCACCACUACCAGAUGGACCUGCGUUGUAUUAGCUAGUAGGUGAGGUAACGGCUCACCUAGGCGACGAUACAUAGCCGACCUGAGAGGGUGAUCGGCCACACUGGGACGGAGACACGGCCCAGACUCCUACGGGAGGCAGCAGUAGGGAAUCUUCGGCAAUGGACGAAAGUCUGACCGAGCAACGCCGCGUGAGUGAAGAAGGGUUUCGGAUCGUAAAGGUCUGUUGUAAGAGAAGAACGGGUGUGAGAGUGGAAAGUUCACACUGUGACGGUAUCUUACCAGAAAGGGACGGCUAACUACGUG